Molecule: ribosomal RNA, 452 nt
Filed under: uncultured bacterium
Lineage: Bacteria
Description: bacterial SSU rRNA
Rfam family: Bacterial small subunit ribosomal RNA
Source: RNAcentral
UGAGGAAUCUUCCGCAAUGGGCGCAAGCCUGACGGAGCGACGCCGCGUGAAGGAUGAAGGACCUUACGGGUCGUAAACUUCUGUUCUGAGGGACGAAAUUUUUGACGGUACCUCAGGAGAAAGUAUCGGCAAACCCUGUGCCAGCAGCCGCGGUAAGACAGGGGAUACAAGCGUUACUCGGAAUUACUGGGCGUAAAGCGUCUGUAGGUGCUUUGGUAAGUCUGUGGUAAAAGCUCGGGGCUCAACCCCGAGAGCGUCAUGGAAACUACCGAAGUUGAGCAGUAGAGAGGCAUCUGGAAUGCCGCAUGUAGGAGUAAAAUCCGUAGAUAUGCGGUAGAACGCCAAAAGCGUAGGCAGGAUGCUAGCUACUUGCUGACACUGAGAGACGAAAGCGUGGGGAGCGAAGCGGAUUAGAUACCCCAGUAGUCCCUGAGCGGGCUGGCAAGGCGCAU